Long non-coding RNA from Drosophila biarmipes, 2087 nucleotides. RefSeq lists it as uncharacterized. The record is from RefSeq and is a predicted model, not a curated record. The transcript has 2 exons. NCBI's taxonomy places the organism in Eukaryota, Metazoa, Arthropoda, Insecta, Diptera, Drosophilidae.
AAUAUACCUAUACCAACUCACUGAAAAAAAUAACUAAAACUAAAACCGAAAAAUGGUAUCAUCAAUUGUUUGUGAUUUGUGCACUAAUAAUGUGGAGAAAAGUGAGUUUGAAGCUCAUUAUGGCAAGGGCUCAAAGCCUCGAAAUGGUUUCGAAGUUUUCAUGGCUAGAUCACAAAUAAAAUGCGACUUGUGCUCUACUGAGGUCAACAAUAAUGACUUUGAUGAGCAUUAUCAAAAUUGUGAAGGGCCCAAAAAUGCAUUCAUUUUAUUAAUGAAUGGUAGAAAACAACAACAAAAACAAAAAAAAAACAACAACAACAACAACAGCAUCAAAAAUAACAACAACACCAUCAAAAACAACAACAACAACUAAACCAAGAACUAAAAAAUUUAGACGACCAUCCUUCAACAUCCGCUAAUGCUCUUAAACGAAUAAGAUUGGAGGAGGGUAAAAAAAUCAUUAAUCAACACAAAGAAAAUUAAAAUUAUAGAGAGCAAAAAGGAUUUAAAAAUGGAACUUUUAUUUCCUACGUGCAGUGAAAAAUAUCUGGCCUCAAGAGAACGUCAGCCGAUAUUGACCGGUAAGCAUAAAAAUGCAUCGGUCAGAGAGGUCAAGAAUAAUCAAAAUAUUAUUCACCUUUGUUCUAAAACUAAGUUUCCAGUAAAAUCAUAUAGAAUAAAUAGUUCUGUCCAAAAUACUAUUGAUUUAAAAGAUUAUUACCAGCUUUGCCAAAGAAAUAUAAUAGAAGUUCUAAAGCAUUGCAUGAUUGAAUAUAGUGUCAUUAAAUUCAGCCUGAGAGUUUAUGGUACCUAUAAAAAACGAGAAGGAGAUACAAUUAAAACAACAAAACAUUUUACGACUGCAGACAAAUCGGUAUACCAAUCUGAAAACAUUGACAAUGAGUUAAAUACGGCAAUAGAUAGUUUAUUAACAUCAAGCAGUGAGUUUAAAGAAAAAGAUUCUGGUUGGCAAUUAGAAAUUUUAUAUAUUUUGAAAUUACGAUAAUAAAUCUAGAAAACAUUCCUGCUAGCGGAUACAUCCAGGCCCCUAAAAAUAUAAGAGCACGAAAUGCGCUUAUAAAUGUAAAAAACACGGAUGUAUUUUGUUUCAAGUGGUGCGUACUAGCAUACGAGUAUAUAGCUAAUAAAAGCCAUGAGAGUACUACCUUUGCAACAACACAGCAAAGAAAGUAUUCGAAAAAAUGACAAAGCAAUCAUUGUGUAUGAUGGCAUAAGUUUGUAUUUUUCGGAAAUCGAGUGUCCAAUCACAAAUAAAGGAAUUAUUCAGUUUAAAAAAAAAUAAUGCAGACUUCAACAUUAACAUUUAUGAAACUGAUGCAGAUGGCGAAAAAAUUAUCAGGCCAACCUUUAGAACAAAGUCAAUUCGUUCUAUUCAUAUCAAUAUAUUAGGAAUCAACAAUAUAAGCCAAGAAGUCAUGCAUUAUGCCUACAUUAUGAGUGUAAAAAGAUUAUGUUAAUCGCAACAUUCCAAAUCGAAGGCGGGUGGAUAUUUUUGUGAAAACUGCUUACAAUUUUUCACCGUAAAUAACACAACCCAUAAUAAGCUUGAGUGCGGAAAAGAAGCCUCCAUCUACCCAGAGCCAAAUACUACAACAUCGUUUAAGGGCUUUCACAAAAAAUUAUCCCCUCCAGUGGUGAUAUAUGCUGAAAUUGAGGCUGUUCUUGAAAAUUACGGUACAUGCCUAAACUGAGCAACUACUUCGUCGACAACAAAAGUGCAAAAGCAUACUGUAUGUGCAGUAUCAUUUUACAUUGCGCAUAAAUAUAAUCCGGCUCUUAACGAAUUGUACACAUAUGAAGGCGCUGACUGCAUUACCCAAUUUUGUAAAUCACUCAAAGAAAAAACUAUGAGUUUGUUUUACAAAUAUUGGUCAACCCCCAAAGGUCCGAGCACAAGUCCAAUUAAUGACGAUGAUCAGAAGGGUAGUUGCUGCGCCUGUGAGAAUGAAAUACAUGAUGACGACCUGGAAAACCACUUCGACCAAUUUACUGGAAAUUACGUGGUACCUAUUCAUAAAAAUUGUAAGCCAAAAUAUAAAUUAAGGGAUCCUUUGUUUCCUGUAGUA